UAUGCAGGACACAUCUACUGCAGAAAUCCUGUCUGAUGUCUGAGGCCGACUCGGAGUCAGCGAUGCUGCUGAGUGAAAGGUGCUGAAAAGAAGAUGAACACUGACUGGUUUUAAGGAGGAGGAGGAGAAAGCGAAGGAGGAGGACAAAGAGGAGGAGGAGGAAAAGGAGAAGGACAAAGAGGAGGAGGAGAAAGCAGCGGAGGCAGGCAGCUACUGAAGGAACCAGUCGGCUCACUCUGACGCCUUCCUGGUUGCUUUCCGUCCGCAGGCCAGAGGUUUGAAUCGGAGCGCUGCAGGUUAACAGGAGGAUCUGCCACAGCCUGAGUGAACCGGAGGGAGCGAGCAGAGGGAGGGCGAUUACUGGGACACAGAAACGAGUCACCAACAUGCCGAGCACAACAAGAAGGAUUUAAAGAAAUUCUCCUUCAGAGGGACGACAGAGAGGAAGAAUGUGUGAGGAAGACGGCGGGCGAGAGAGGAAGGAGGGCGACUUCCUCCUGCAGCCGAACCGCCAUCUUGUUAACGCAAACAGAACGCCAACGUUCUGUAACGUUCUGUAUCCAGAAGAACGACUCAAAGACGGAUGGAGGCGGCCAUCUUUCUUUUACUGCAGGUCAGCUGCUUUGGCUGUGCAGACGGUUGCCUUGGCAACCCCUCUGGAAUUACUUUAUGUGUCCAGAUUAUCUCUGGUAUUAAUCUCUGAAUUUGUAUCAUUCUUGAACUGCAGUUGUGGGCCACACAAAACCAGGCCAAGGUCCACAAAUGGCCCCCAGGCCACACUUUGGACACCCUGUGCUCCUUUUAGUUGCAGAUUUUGUAUUUAAUUUGGGGGUAUCAGAGUUAAGACAUGCAGCACUUUAUAGAUUUUAUUAUAUUAAAAAUAGUUAUUCUGCUCUUUGUGUUGAUCUAGUUCAUAAAAUCCCAGUAAAACCUUCUAAGGUUUGGCGCUAACAUCACAAAAUGUAAAAAACUGCCUGAUAACCUUUUUUUUUUUACAUUAUCGGCUUUAUAAUAAUACAGAUUUAUCAACAAGAAGAAGACUGUGUGUUUAAUCCAGAGCAGGAUUAUUAAAGAUGUUUUUCAGGCUGACUCCUGGGUGGAGUCUUUAAAAUCCGGCCAGAUUUCCAGGAUCGGUUCCUGCUGGAGGAGAGUUCCUGAGUCACAGAAACCACAGCUAUGUGCCGGCCGGCCGUGGCUGCAGCACAUGGAUCCUCCCCUCGUCUGGAAGCUGUUGGAGUUUUCUACCAGAUGUGGGAGUCUGGUUUUCUUAAUGACACCCUGGUGCAUGCUGGGAGCGCUGAGAAGCCAGUCUUUGUGACGGAGCUGCAAAGAAAGCUGGACAGUGUUGAAAUGCAGCAGCUUUAAAUGUUUUCUAAUGUUCAGUUUUCUCCAUUUUUCCUUCAAAUCCAGAAGUAAUGAUUGGAAACUCCACAGUGAAUCAUCUGGGACACACAGAUCCACAUUCACAGCGUUCGCUUAAACAACAGGUGCCUCUGAGUUGGUCAUCCUCCAGAGAGAACCAGCCGUCCAGCUGUCGGCCACACAGCGGGUUACCGCGCUUAAACGCUUACUGAAACUGAGUUUUUUCUUACUCUUUGUUCUUUUAGACCAGGGGUGUCAAACUCCAGUCCUCAA
This is a long non-coding RNA of Xiphophorus maculatus (southern platyfish), 1635 nucleotides long. RefSeq lists it as uncharacterized. The record is from RefSeq and is a predicted model, not a curated record. NCBI's taxonomy places the organism in Eukaryota, Metazoa, Chordata, Actinopteri, Cyprinodontiformes, Poeciliidae. The transcript is spliced from 5 exons.